Prunus avium (sweet cherry) is the source of this 287-nucleotide non-coding RNA. The record is from RefSeq and is a predicted model, not a curated record. NCBI's taxonomy places the organism in Eukaryota, Viridiplantae, Streptophyta, Magnoliopsida, Rosales, Rosaceae.
UAAAUCAGAGAGUACAAAACUAUCAGAUCUAACGGAAGAAGAAAUUCGUACUUAUUUUUAUCUGUUCGAGGGCCCUCGUAGUCCUACUGGGAGCAAGUCUGAUGAAUCAGAGUAUAAAGAAUCAGAGACUGAAGAAUCAGAGGAUGAAGGAUGUUUUAUUGGUGAAUGUAAGUAUUGUUUAAAGGUGAAUAAGCACCCAACAAACCAAUGCUCUUACAAGUAUAAAGUCCCAAAGGACGCAAUUGUUGGCGAGAGUUGUGUGGUUGCAUGUCUUGUAUGUGGCUGCC